AUUGAACGCUGGCGGAAUGCUUUACACAUGCAAGUCGAACGGCAGCACGGACUUCGGUCUGGUGGCGAGUGGCGAACGGGUGAGUAAUGUAUCGGAACGUGCCCAGUCGUGGGGGAUAACGUAGUGAAAAUUACGCUAAUACCGCAUACGAUCUAUGGAUGAAAGCGGGGGAUCGCAAGACCUCGCGCGAUUGGAGCGGCCGAUAUCAGAUUAGGUAGUUGGUGGGGUAAAGGCCCACCAAGCCAACGAUCUGUAGCUGGUCUGAGAGGACGACCAGCCACACUGGAACUGAGACACGGUCCAGACUCCUACGGGAGGCAGCAGUGGGGAAUUUUGGACGAUGGGCGAAAGCCUGAUCCAGCCAUUCCGCGUGCAGGACGAAGGCCCUCGGGUUGUAAACUGCUUUUGUACAGAACGAAAAGGUUUCUACUAAUACUAGGAGCUCAUGACGGUACUGUAAGAAUAAGCACCGGCUAACUACGUGCCAGCAGCCGCCGCGG
RNAcentral lists this ribosomal RNA (500 nucleotides) under uncultured bacterium. RNAcentral describes it as "partial 16S ribosomal RNA". It matches the Rfam family "Bacterial small subunit ribosomal RNA", at positions 30 to 523 of the family's 1533-position model. The record is from RNAcentral.